Molecule: long non-coding RNA, 584 nt
Filed under: Ooceraea biroi (clonal raider ant)
Lineage: Eukaryota; Metazoa; Arthropoda; Insecta; Hymenoptera; Formicidae
Description: uncharacterized LOC113561470, transcript variant X1
Source: RNAcentral
UUGCUUAAGCGCACGGAAACUUAAUCGGCGUUGCGGUGAGAUGUACGAGCGGAUAAUCAGGACAAAAGGGGCGGAACACGAUUCGAUUAAUGGAUCGACGCAGUCCACUUCGUUGGCAUCGAACGGAACCCGCCCUUUAUGGUGUUUACGGAUCUAUUUAGAAAUUUCCUGGCCGUUAGGCACAUGGCCAAAUAAGCAUGGUCAUCAAUAAACCGAAUGGCGAUGCCUGUGCUGAAACUUGGAAAAAUCAAUAGACAACGAGAGGAAACAUUACAGGUGACUUCCGACUGCUUCCUGCACGCGGAAACAUUGGCGGAUUAAGGACAGUGAUAAUUUCUAUCCAUCUAACUACAGGACGAAUUAUACGGCGAUCUCUACGACAUAAAGUUUCAGAUAUUCCGAGUCGCAGAAUUACGCAAGCAGAUACGGAGAGUGAGCUCAUGCAUAAAACAAGAAAGAGAUACAGCUGACACGAUUGCUUCAAUCGAUAUGUGAAAUCGCAACGGUAAUGAUACAAGUAUAGCAUAAGUAUUAAUAUCUAUAAAUGCCGAAAGUGUUACAAUAAAAAGGACUUUUAGUAAGUA